AGUGAACGCUGGCGGUAGGCCUAACACAUGCAAGUCGAACGGCAGCACAGUAAGAGCUUGCUCUUACGGGUGGCGAGUGGCGGACGGGUGAGGAAUACAUCGGAAUCUACUUUUUCGUGGGGGAUAACGUAGGGAAACUUACGCUAAUACCGCAUACGACCUACGGGUGAAAGCAGGGGAUCUUCGGACCUUGCGCGAUUGAAUGAGCCGAUGUCGGAUUAGCUAGUUGGCGGGGUAAAGGCCCACCAAGGCGACGAUCCGUAGCUGGUCUGAGAGGAUGAUCAGCCACACUGGAACUGAGACACGGUCCAGACUCCUACGGGAGGCAGCAGUGGGGAAUAUUGGACAAUGGGCGCAAGCCUGAUCCAGACAUACCGCGUGGGUGAAGAAGGCCUUCGGGUUGUAAAGCCCUUUUGUUGGGAAAGAAAAGCAGCAGGUUAAGACCCCGCUGUUCUGACGGUACCCAAAGAAUAAGCACCGGCUAACUGCGU
RNAcentral lists this ribosomal RNA (491 nucleotides) under uncultured bacterium. RNAcentral describes it as "partial 16S ribosomal RNA". It matches the Rfam family "Bacterial small subunit ribosomal RNA", at positions 29 to 506 of the family's 1533-position model. The record is from RNAcentral.